UACGUAGGGUGCGAGCGUUGUCCGGAAUUACUGGGCGUAAAGAGCUCGUAGGUGGUUUGUCGCGUUGUCCGUGAAAACUCACAACUCAAUUGUGGGCGUGCGGGCGAUACGGGCAGACUGGAGUACUGCAGGGGAGACUGGAAUUCCUGGUGUAGCGGUGGAAUGCGCAGAUAUCAGGAGGAACACCGGUGGCGAAGGCGGGACUCUGGGCCGAUACUGACGCUGAGGAGCGAAAGCGUGGGGAGCAAACAGG
Molecule: ribosomal RNA, 253 nt
Filed under: uncultured bacterium
Lineage: Bacteria
Description: partial 16S ribosomal RNA
Rfam family: Bacterial small subunit ribosomal RNA
Source: RNAcentral